AUACGGAGGGUGCAAGCGUUACUCGGAAUCACUGGGCGUAAAGCGCGCGCAGGCGGCUUGAUAAGUUGGAUGUGAAAGCCUACGGCUCAACCGUAGAACUGCAUCCAAAACUGUCAAGCUAGAGUCUGGGAGGGGAAGAUGGAAUUAGUUGUGUAGGGGUAAAAUCCGUAGAGAUAACUAGGAAUACCAAAAGCGAAGGCGAUCUUCUGGAACAGUACUGACGCUGAGGCGCGAAAGCGUGGGGAGCAAACAGAAUUAGAAACCCCAGUAGUCC
Molecule: ribosomal RNA, 274 nt
Filed under: uncultured bacterium
Lineage: Bacteria
Description: partial 16S ribosomal RNA
Rfam family: Bacterial small subunit ribosomal RNA
Source: RNAcentral